RNAcentral lists this signal recognition particle RNA (307 nucleotides) under Thermoplasmatales archaeon E-plasma. Its description in RNAcentral is "Archaeal signal recognition particle RNA". It matches the Rfam family "Archaeal signal recognition particle RNA". The record is from Rfam by way of RNAcentral. Lineage: Archaea; Methanobacteriati; Thermoplasmatota; Thermoplasmata; Thermoplasmatales.
AGCCGAACUAGGUCGGGGAGCUAGGCACUCUCUGUUACCCGAAGUCUAUACGCGGGGACGACAGCCUGAAAAGGUCAACUUAGCCUCUGCAAAGCCUUUGGUAAGCAAUGAAACUCUAUCCUCAUGGAUCGGGGUUUUGUUCAGUCAGACUCAAAGGAGAUUGCCUGAACAAUUCAUCUGGUGAAUCCGCCAGGUCCGGAAGGGAGCAACGGUAACCAGAACUUUCGAUGCUGUGAGGGGACUGGGGUAGAGUAAAUCAAGGGGUAAACUUUGCAGGACGUUAAGCCCGAUUCAGGCAUGUUCGGUA